This is a non-coding RNA of Candidatus Nomurabacteria bacterium GWB1_40_6, 71 nucleotides long. Lineage: Bacteria; Candidatus Nomuraibacteriota. The record is from Rfam.
UGGGAGAUCGGCUAAUGGUAGGCCAAUUGCCUCUGGAGCAAUGAAUCUUGGUUCGAAUCCAAGUCUCCCAG